AACCAAUCAUGGUUCGCUUAUAAAUAACGUCAACUCGUCAAGUGGUAUUCGAACAAUAACGCGUUAUAUUUACGCUAUCACUCAUCCCCAAAUCAUAUCAUUUUUCUGCAAACUACCAAAACCCUAAUUUCCGAAUUUCCAAUCAUGUCUUCCAAGCAAGGAGGAAAAGCAAAGCCGUUGAAACAACCAAAGGCCGAGAAGAAAGAAUACGAUGAGGUGGACAAGGCCAACAUUCAAAAGAAAAAAGACGAGGAGAAGGCUCUGAAGGAACUUAGAGCAAAAGCUCAAAAGGGAGCACUUGGAGGUACUGGUCUGAAGAAAAGUGGAAAGAAAUGAGGCUUGAUUGAUUGCAGAACUCAAGUAUGUUAUGUUGUGAUUUGUGAAAUGUUGCUUUGAAUAUGUUGCUUAUAUAGCUGAAUAUGUUGGCUAGAUUUACGUUGAAUGUCGGGUAAUAAUCAAGCUAAUAUUUGGUUUUGAUGUUGA
Long non-coding RNA from Helianthus annuus (common sunflower), 483 nucleotides. RefSeq lists it as uncharacterized. Lineage: Eukaryota; Viridiplantae; Streptophyta; Magnoliopsida; Asterales; Asteraceae. The record is from RefSeq and is a predicted model, not a curated record. The transcript is spliced from 4 exons.